This 72-nucleotide transfer RNA is filed under the name Mus musculus musculus (eastern European house mouse). RNAcentral's name for it is "tRNA-Asp (GTC) (tRNA-Asp-GTC-7-1)". It matches the Rfam family "tRNA". From Rfam's summary of the family: Transfer RNA (tRNA) molecules are approximately 80 nucleotides in length. Their secondary structure includes four short double-helical elements and three loops (D, anti-codon, and T loops). Further hydrogen bonds mediate the characteristic L-shaped molecular structure. tRNAs have two regions of fundamental functional importance: the anti-codon, which is responsible for specific mRNA codon recognition, and the 3' end, to which the tRNAs corresponding amino acid is attached (by aminoacyl-tRNA synthetases). tRNAs cope with the degeneracy of the genetic code in two manners: having more than one tRNA (with a specific anti-codon) for a particular amino acid; and 'wobble' base-pairing, i.e. permitting non-standard base-pairing at the 3rd anti-codon position. Lineage: Eukaryota; Metazoa; Chordata; Mammalia; Rodentia; Muridae. The record is from RNAcentral.
UCCUCCUUAGUACAGUGGUGAGUAUCCCCGCCUGUCACGCGGGAGACCAGGGUUCGAUUCCCCGACGGGGAG